RNAcentral lists this ribosomal RNA (493 nucleotides) under uncultured soil bacterium. Its description in RNAcentral is "bacterial SSU rRNA". It matches the Rfam family "Bacterial small subunit ribosomal RNA", at positions 26 to 514 of the family's 1533-position model. The record is from RNAcentral.
AGAUUGAACGCUGGCGGCAGGCCUAACACAUGCAAGUCGAGCGGCAGCACGGGUACUUGUACCUGGUGGCGAGCGGCGGACGGGUGAGUAAUGCCUAGGAAUCUGCCUGAUAGUGGGGGAUAACGUUCGGAAACGGACGCUAAUACCGCAUACGUCCUACGGGAGAAAGUGGGGGAUCUUCGGACCUCACGCUAUCAGAUGAGCCUAGGUCGGAUUAGCUAGUUGGUAGGUAAAGGCCUACCAAGGCUACGAUCCGUAACUGGUCUGAGAGGAUGAUCAGUCACACUGGAACUGAGACACGGUCCAGACUCCUACGGGAGGCAGCAGUGGGGAAUAUUGGACAAUGGGCGAAAGCCUGAUCCAGCCAUGCCGCGUGUGUGAAGAAAGGUCUUCGGAUUGUAAAAGCACUUUAAGUUGGAGAUGGCAUUAACCUAAUACGUUAGUGUUUUGACGUUACCGACAGAAUAAGCACCGGCUAACUCUGUGCCAGCAG